Molecule: ribosomal RNA, 397 nt
Filed under: uncultured Neocallimastigomycetes
Lineage: Eukaryota; Fungi; Neocallimastigomycota; Neocallimastigomycetes
Description: eukaryotic LSU rRNA
Rfam family: Eukaryotic large subunit ribosomal RNA
Source: RNAcentral
GUUCUACCUUGACGAAUUGUAGUUUAAAGAAGUGUUUUCUGUUGGAGUUUUGGUAAAAGUUCUUUGGAAUAGGACAUCAUAGAGGGUGAGAAUCCCGUAUUUGACCAUUAUUUCCAGCUUUGUGAUACACUUUCAAAGAGUCGGAUUGUUUGGGAAUGCAGUCCAAAAUGGGUGGUAAAUUUCAUCUAAAGCUAAAUAUUGGCGAGAGACCGAUAGCGAACAAGUACCGUGAGGGAAAGAUGAAAAGAGCUUUGAAAAGAGAGUUAAACAGUACGUGAAAUUGUCAAAAGGGAAGCGUUUGACACCAGUGUUGUUUUCUCGAAAAUCAAUUUAAAAAGGCUGGAUUUUGUGUUGUAUUGACUUUAUCAGCUUUCUGCACUCUUUUCCUGUCUUUUUU